UGGACAAGGACUGACGCUGAGGUGCGAAAGCGUGGGUAGCAAACAGGAUUAGAUACCCUGGUAGUCCACGCUGUAAACGAUGUCGAUUUGGAGGUUGUGACCUAGUGUUAUGGCGUCCGAAGCUAACGCGAUAAAUCGACCGCCUGGGGAGUACGGCCGCAAGGUUAAAACUCAAAUGAAUUGACGGGGGCUCGCACAAGCGGUGGAGCAUGUGGUUUAAUUCGAUGCAACGCGAAGAACCUUACCUACUCUUGACAUCCACGGAAUUUAGCAGAGAUGCUUAAGUGCCUUCGGGAGCCGUGAGACAGGUGCUGCAUGGCUGUCGUCAGCUCGUGUUGUGAAAUGUUGGGUUAAGUCCCGCAACGAGCGCAACCCUUGUCCUUUGUUGCCAGCACGUGAUGGUGGGAACUCAAAGGAGACUGCCGGUGAUAAACCGGAGGAAGGUGGGGAUGACGUCAAGUCAUCAUGGCCCUUACGAGUAGGGCUACACACGUGCUACAAUGGCGCAUACAAAGAGCGGCGAGCGUGCGAACGUAAGCGAACCUCAUAAAGUGCGUCGUAGUCCGGAUUGGAGUCUGCAACUCGACUCCAUGAAGUCGGAAUCGCUAGUAAUCGUGGAUCAGAAUGCUACGGUGAAUACGUUCCCG
This 647-nucleotide ribosomal RNA is filed under the name Candidatus Regiella insecticola. RNAcentral describes it as "bacterial SSU rRNA". It matches the Rfam family "Bacterial small subunit ribosomal RNA", at positions 730 to 1376 of the family's 1533-position model. The record is from RNAcentral. Lineage: Bacteria; Pseudomonadati; Pseudomonadota; Gammaproteobacteria; Enterobacterales; Enterobacteriaceae.